This 119-nucleotide ribosomal RNA is filed under the name Aegilops tauschii subsp. strangulata. Lineage: Eukaryota; Viridiplantae; Streptophyta; Magnoliopsida; Poales; Poaceae. The record is from RNAcentral.
GAAAGCGAUCAUACCAGCACUAAAGCACCGGAUCCCAUCAAAACUCCGAAGUUAAGCGUGCUUGGGCGAGAGUAGUACAAGGAUGGGUGACCUCCUGGGAAGUCCUCGUGUUGCAUUCC